Molecule: RNA transcript, 2004 nt
Organism: Daphnia magna
Lineage: Eukaryota; Metazoa; Arthropoda; Branchiopoda; Diplostraca; Daphniidae
Gene: Dph2
Gene name: 2-(3-amino-3-carboxypropyl)histidine synthase subunit 2
Exons: 10
Source: RefSeq, a predicted model, not a curated record
UUCAUUAGCUGGCGGACCAGCCAUGUUGAACCUUGUUUAAUUGUUGUUUUCGAGUGGAAUAGUUUUCCACGUGGGUUUCAUUUGUUAAGUCAGGUAUUUUGACUGCUACGUUGUAGCGGAAAUUCCAAGUUCCUAAACAAUGUUAUCACCCGUUAGCUGUAAAGGUACUCUGGAAGAAAUCUAUGAUAUUAGUAGAAUAAUUUUAUGGAUUAAAGAAUUGGAUGUAAAAAAAAUUGCUUUACAAUUCCCCGAUGAACUGCUAAAUGAUGCUCCCGAUGUCGCACUUAAAAUAGAAUUGUCCUCCAACAUUGAAGUUCAUAUUCUAGGUGAUACUACAUAUGGAAGUUGUUGUGCUGAUGUUCAUGCUGCUACAUAUAUUGGUGCAGAGGCUUUGGUACAUUUUGGCCCAGCUUGUUUAACUCAGCAUGAAAAAUUUCCUGUGCUUUAUAUAUUUGAAAAAAUCAGUGUUGAAUCAAAACCAUUUUUAGAUGAGUUGACUGCAACUCUUUCAGAACAGGAUAAUUUAAUAAUAGCUUCUGAUCUGAGAUAUUAUCAUUCUGCAGAAACAAUAGUGGCUGAACUGCAGGCACUAAAGCGAACUGUGUUGUAUCUUGAACCCAAUCUGUUUUCAUUGCAUCAACCAUCACCAGAUCAUUUAACAGUGUCAGGGCGUACUUGCCAAAAGCUGUUGCCACACGACACUCCGAUCGAGAAUUUCAUCGUGAUAUACAUUGGCGAAGAGGGAUUAACAUUGACUAAUCUAAUGUUCACCCUAAACCAAUGUACUUUUUACACCUAUAACCCGAACGGAUGCUCCUUGAAAAAAGAAUGUGUUAAUGUCAAUCAGCAACUGCGGAGACGUUACUUCUUAACAGAGAAAGCUAAAGACGCUCAAUUAGUUGGUAUUCUUGUAGCUACAUUGGGUGUCGCUGAUCAUCUGAAAAUAAUUGAACACAUCAAAUUUCUCGCCAAAAACUCUGGCAAAAAGUGUUAUACUUUUGUUGUAGGAAAGCUGAAUCCAAAUAAGCUGGCCAACUUUCCAGAAAUCGAUGUUUUUGUAGCAGUUGCGUGUCCAGAGAAUUCAUUGCUAAACAACGAAGAAUUCUAUCGACCAGUUAUUACACCGUAUGAGUUUGAGAUUGCCGUGAACAGUUCGCGCCCUUGGACAGGCGAUUACAUAACUGAUUUUAGGCAAAUUCUGCCAGACGCGGCUGGGUACGUCCCGCUCACAGCUUUAAGCCAAGAACAAGAGGCAGAUGUUUCCCUUGUUUCAGGACAAAUGCGCCACGUAGCGUUGGAAGGCCUUGAUGACGAUUCCAGUGCAAGCUUUGAUCAGAUUUCACAUAGAAAUCCGAAUUCAAGCCUACUUCCUGUGGGUAGUGACUUUCUUAAGCGACGCGGUUGGAGUGGGCUUGAACCUCACGUUGGUGAAACCCCUGUCAGGACUGCGCAUUCAGGAAGAAGAGGAUUGGCAGCUGGUUACAGUGGGGAAGGCGAAAACGAAACCAAAUAAGAAAAUGUGUCUGAAAAACUCGGUGAACCAUAAUUCAAAUCCUUCGAUCAGAUUUCAGGAUUGUACAAACUUACCUGAUUGGAUUUUUCAGACUUGGCUCAUAUUCUUGUUGCUAAAUUGGAGCAAUGGAUUUUGUAGGGAAUUAUCAUGCCAUUCCGUGUCGUCAUAAUAGAGUAAUGAAGACAAUUGAAUAUAUAUCGUUGAGGCACUAUGAGAAAUGUCCAGAAAAAGAUCGCGCGGGAUAGCGUAGCCUGCAUUGUGUCAUAGAGAAGCCUGCCAAGCUCAGUGCCUGGAGAAAAACUUCGGACUUUUUCCAACUAUUCCUCUGAAAGUGGUAGAAACCCUCUAGCCUCUACCCUAGAAGAUAUGUUUUCGUCAGAUGGCAGCAGGCUAUAAAGCAGACAACAUUAAUUUUUUUUCCACAACAACAAGCUAACGCCAAGCCCAUGCUCCCAAACAAGUGUAUUUAAUACAUUCCCAUUCUACUUUUG